GCGUUCUUAGCUCAGGCGGUUAGAGCGCUACCUUGACAUGGUAGAGGUCGAUGGUUCAAGUCCAUUAGAACGCA
This 74-nucleotide transfer RNA is filed under the name Blochmannia endosymbiont of Camponotus sp. RNAcentral's name for it is "tRNA-Val". It matches the Rfam family "tRNA". Rfam says of the family: Transfer RNA (tRNA) molecules are approximately 80 nucleotides in length. Their secondary structure includes four short double-helical elements and three loops (D, anti-codon, and T loops). Further hydrogen bonds mediate the characteristic L-shaped molecular structure. tRNAs have two regions of fundamental functional importance: the anti-codon, which is responsible for specific mRNA codon recognition, and the 3' end, to which the tRNAs corresponding amino acid is attached (by aminoacyl-tRNA synthetases). tRNAs cope with the degeneracy of the genetic code in two manners: having more than one tRNA (with a specific anti-codon) for a particular amino acid; and 'wobble' base-pairing, i.e. permitting non-standard base-pairing at the 3rd anti-codon position. Lineage: Bacteria; Pseudomonadati; Pseudomonadota; Gammaproteobacteria; Enterobacterales; Enterobacteriaceae. The record is from RNAcentral.